AUUAUUCAAUUUGCGGGACAAAAACAUCAAGCACGCAAAGGAAAUCUUCAAGUAGCUGGAAGCAGUUCAGCUCCCUGAGAAAGUGGCAAUCAUGCACAUCAGAGCACACCAAAAAGUAAACUCAGAAUUGGAAAAACGAAAUGAGCUGGUGGACAGAGAGGCAAAACAGGCAGCCAAAAAGGAGGUAAAGACAGAAGGGGCCCUGAUCCCCAAUGGGCAAAUCUCCCUAGAAGAAAAGACUCUGGAACCCCAAUUGGAAGGACCCUUUCAGGUCCUCCUUACGUUAUAUACCGCAGU
Oxyura jamaicensis (ruddy duck) is the source of this 297-nucleotide long non-coding RNA. RefSeq lists it as uncharacterized. The transcript has 2 exons. NCBI's taxonomy places the organism in Eukaryota, Metazoa, Chordata, Aves, Anseriformes, Anatidae. The record is from RefSeq and is a predicted model, not a curated record.